GAUGAACGCUGGCGGCGUGCUUAACACAUGCAAGUCGAACGUGAGAAUAGCAAUAUUUGAAAGUGGCAAACGGGUGAGUAACACGUGGGAACCUGCCUCGAAGUGGGGGAUAACGAUUGGAAACGGUCGCUAAUACCGCACGGUUCUGCUCUGAUGGGAAUGGAGCAGAUAAAGAUUUAUCGCUUUGAGAGGGGCCCGCGGCCGAUUAGCUAGUUGGUAAGGUAAAGGCUUACCAAGGCGAUUAUCGGUAGCUGGUCUGAGAGGACGAUCAGCCACACGGGAACUGAGACACGGUCCCGACUCCUACGGGGGGCAGCAGUGAGGAAUAUUGGGCAAUGGGCGAAAGCCUGACCCAGCAACGCCGCGUGGAGGAUGAAGGCUUUAGGGUUGUAAACUCCUUUUGUGGGGGAAAAGAAUGGAUGGUACCCCAAGAAUAAGUCACGGCUAACUACGUG
RNAcentral lists this ribosomal RNA (455 nucleotides) under uncultured bacterium. RNAcentral describes it as "bacterial SSU rRNA". It matches the Rfam family "Bacterial small subunit ribosomal RNA", at positions 28 to 507 of the family's 1533-position model. The record is from RNAcentral. RNAcentral also lists the same sequence under 1 other name.